Molecule: long non-coding RNA, 2478 nt
Organism: Meriones unguiculatus (Mongolian gerbil)
Lineage: Eukaryota; Metazoa; Chordata; Mammalia; Rodentia; Muridae
Exons: 3
Source: RefSeq, a predicted model, not a curated record
GGCGCACGCGGGGAGGCGGCGGCGACGGAGAUGGCAGGCUUGGCGGGGACUCCACCGCGGCUCCCGGGGGCUCCUGCAGCGCCAGCGGGAACUGCAGAGAGCCCGAGCCGCCCAGCAGGCUGUAGCACAGCCCAGGAGGAUUCCAGGUUGGCAUCCUAGAGACACCUGCACAGGAGUGUUUAUUCAGUCUGCUGUUCCCAACAGCCAAGAGGCAGAGCCAGCCCAGAUGUCCAUCAACAGAUGAAGAGCUAAAGAAAUCUGAUGGGUGAAAUUAUGUCAUUUCCAGGAAGAUGGGUGGAGCUGAAGGUCAUUAUGGGGUCAACUACUCGGAGCCUAGCACCCAUGAGUCUGCCGCCUUAAGGACGUUAUCAUUGCUGCAGCCAGAUUGCACCAACGAAGAACAUCAUGGAGGAGGUAGUGCAGGCAUUCGGUGGUUCCCACCUAAAACUCUUCACAACCCUUCCAGUCCUGUCCCACUGUCUGGAACAACCCAGAGACCCACCUGCCCACUGGCGGAUGAAUAGCCUAGCACAGUUGUGCACCGAGGACCAGGAGAAGCACCUGGGUUCACAUCAACAGCUCUCCCCUGAGCUGCAACUACAAACUUCAAACAGAGAAAUGAUACUAUCUCAUUCUGCAUCAGUCAGGGCUUUCUUGAAAAGAGCCAGGGUCGGGAGGUUGCGAGGGGAACAUAAAGAGACGCAUGGAGAAGGUGCCCAGCAGCCAUGGAGACUGACGGGUCUGAUAUCUACCCUGCACAGGUGAAGAUGCAGAAGUGUUCAUGAUGUAAUAUUUGGUCCAAAUCCAAAAGACCCGAGAACCAAGUGAGCUGAUGCUGUAGCUCCAGUCUAAAAGCAAGGAAAAAUCUCUCUCCGUGGGUGAGGAUCAGGCUCUCGUUCCUCUCAGGUGUCCUAUGGAUUGGAGACGUCUGCUCCUUUCUGCUUACUCAAUCUACUGACUCACAUGUCAGCCUCACCCUGCAGACAUCCUCACAGGCCAUCCAGUGUUCCACCAGGUAUCUGGAGACCGCAUAGCCAGGUCAAGCACAUACAUAAAUCACCCACCACACCUCUCAUAGGGAAUAAACUCUUCAGCUUGAAUCUCGCACAUCAGUGCAGCCUUCCCCUCACACAAUCUCUAAGUACACGCUUUCAAAGUCUACAUUAAUUGUUGCUGAAUCAAUAUCUUGAUAUUAGCUGGUUUUCCCCAAUAAAAUAAUCCGUAGUAUUUGCAGUAUUUGCAGUUUUUAACUUAAAUUCAACAAGUACAAUCGCUUGUUUAUAUUUUUUUUCUUUUCUUAUUUUUUCUUUGCUAGGCUUACCCUGGCUGGCCUCAACCUCAAGACUGGUCCUUUUGUCUCAGCCUCCCAAGCACUGGGAUCAAGCAUGUAUUUCCGAGCCCUCUCAAUCACUUGCUCCUCAGGCAUUCCACAUUCAAGUCUGUCAGUUAUUCGUUGGGACCCUUUAUGCCCUCUACGCUUGAGCUAAUUUAAUUUGACAUAAUUUAUAAACUAUAUUCUAGGACUCCAAUUAAAUAGCAUGCCUUUACAUAAAACAAGACUCUAUUGUUUUUCUGGGCCCAAGAAAAUUUCUAACCAUGAUUUGAUCAAAGCAAGCAAACAAAUAAACCAGAAACACUUUCAUAAGGAAAUAAACAUGUUCAGAAAUGUAAUUCUGUCUGCCAGUAAAUACCACAAUUAUAAGAUAGCUUCCUUUUUUAUUAUUUUUUGUUUUUGUAAUUACAAAGUAAAAUAUGAAUACAUAUUCUUAAGUUAAACAAAAAAAUAAAUCCAAGAUUACAGAUGUAAUUGGAGGCUUUUCUAUUAACAAAUAUUGAGUUUACAAAUUCUCAGAGAUAUAAUGAAAGCUACUCUUCAAAUUAAAAUUACAUCAGGUCUGCUGCUGACACAUAAAGUGGCCAUGUUUAACUGGGGCCUUGUGCCACUGCUCCUUUUACUGGAAUUUUAAGACAAUCCCUGGCUCUUAAGUCCAAAAGGCUAGGCCCAGCCACUGUCCCAGUACCCCAAUUAAAGAGACAAAUAAUGGGGGUAAAGAGAGCACUGGGGAUCUAUUCAGUUUGGCCAAAGCAGCACAGGUUGGCUGCAAACUGCUACCAAUUAACAUCUGACACCAGCAAAGGUCUUUUCAGCUAUAGAAUCCUUAACCCAGGCCCCUUAACAGAACUAAAGAAGACAAAAUUCAUUGAUUUGGAGAAAGUAAAUGUGCUUGAAAAUGUAUGAAUAAGGAGAAGAAUAGUCCAGCCUUUUCAUACCUCAAAGAAAUGGAGUCGCAAUUCAACUCUGCUCAGUGGAAAUGCAGUGGGGACCGCAAGUUUAAAUUGGUCCCAACUACUUGGAACCUAAAACCAUGAGGCCUCCCAGGCAUCUUCUCAGAACCUAAUCUGUUGUGGUAUGUAAACUCCUCCUCCCCAGAAGCGCUUAUUAACAGUUUUGUGUACCCCCUUUUUCUAUCAUGAAUA